Molecule: long non-coding RNA, 554 nt
Organism: Pseudopipra pipra
Lineage: Eukaryota; Metazoa; Chordata; Aves; Passeriformes; Pipridae
Exons: 3
Source: RefSeq, a predicted model, not a curated record
UAGAACAUAUUAGGUAUAACUCCAUAUUUCUCAUUUCACUGUUAUUUCAUUUUUUUGGUGAAAACCAUUGGUUCUCUACAGGAAAUUCCAGAAGCUGUGAAUGCUGGGAAGUGCCCAGGAAGGUGAAGAAGAUGCUUGAGUAAUCUGGAAUGAGUGCUGCCACACUUUAUACCUGGAUACUUAACCCCUCCAUCUCAGAUGUAGCCAUACCCACCAAAGGAAAAAUACCUCCUUUUCUGAUCCUCUUAGCCAUGGAAGCAGGUUUGGCUGUGAGAUUUAGACCCCUUUUCUUCACAAAGUUUGUGAGAAGAGCUGGUCUGGAGAGGAUAGACCACAUCUCAAGGAGAAGGGUGAACAGAGUCUCUCCUAUGCCCUUUGCCUCCUGGACCCAAUGGGAGUGCCACAUCAAUUUCUGGUUUGCUUCAGAGAUGUCCAUAAGUAUAGACAAUUUUAGCAAGGAACAUGGAACUCUCUCCUCCUGAUAUUUCACGUAUAUGAGGGUAAGUGUAGUCAAUGAAUAUUGUGUUUAAAGGGCAGUUUCAGUUUAAAGGAGU